CCCCAAUUGAUUGCCAAUAAAAGUCAGUGACUGGGACCGUCCAGCCUUUGUCGGUUGCACCAGCACUGGUCGUCCUGGCCCCUGCUUUCUCUCCUGGUUCUGUCUCCUAGUAUAUUCUUUUUCACAGGCCUGUGUCGCACACUAGGCAGGUGGGUACUGGAGCCCGACUACAGGGGUCUCCACCAAUUGGUGCCCAUUGUGGGGGCUUGAACCAUGAGCAAUCACCUGCUCAGUGAGGCUACUCAGAAUAAAAAGGAAAAAAGAAAAAGAAAGAAAAGAAUUGACAACGCGGUGCACUUCACAUCAAGGUCAAGGACAAGCACAAAAUCCCUGGAAAAAAAGAGGUAUGUGCUUCAGAUGGGAGAAGGUAGUCAGCUGGGACUAAAACACUGGGUAAUCACUUUCGGCCAAAGAAGGCCUGCAGUGUUGAAAUAAAUGCUGCAAAAGAUAGUUAAAUGUAAUCAUCAUUUUUCACAAACUAGAACUUUAGAUAUGGAACUCGGAGCGUGUCAAAAAUAACAUCCAGACAGCUCGGCAAAGAAGAAAAGUUAUCUCCCUUGAGACUUUAACUGAGACCUUGACAGCUUGGAGCCUUGUGCACUGUUUUACGGCCCAAACAACCAAGCCUGGGAGCCGCUCAAGCUUCUGCUCCGUGGCAAUCAGCCGCUGGUGAGAACUGUUUAGUUUUGGUCUUAGGACAACUGCUCGCCAAAUCUGCCGUCUUUGACACGGCGGACUCGCCUCUCUCAGGAAAUGUGACAUCGUUACGGGCAAACACCAGCGCUUCUCCUUUGGAGGAGGUCGCGCUGCCUCCCCCUCUGCUUGAGUUGCUAAGAUCACAGGUGCGGGAGAGGUGGAGGAAAAGCAUGAGGAGAACCGGCUUGGCCUAAGUGUACCCCUCGAGGGUGCGUGUGGGUGCCGUGAUCGGACUCAGAGAGGGUCGAGCAGGGCUUGCACUCAGAUUGGAAAGAACUGAAAUGAGAAAUAAGUAAUGGAUUGAAAAUUGCUAGGAAAGCUCUGAAGAGCAUAAAGCAAAAUAGUGAGAAAAAACACUUCUGGCUUUGAUAGCCAAGGCCAGAGCUGUGUUAUCAGCCCGAUUCGGCUGCAAAGUUCUGGAAUCCAAAACAAAGCCGGAGAAACUGCAACUGUGCUCUACCAGACAUCAAGAGAUUUUACAAGAAAAACCAAGUUACAAAUUGUAGCUAACUGAUAAAUGUAUCUUUGUUGCAAUUUGAGUUGAUGUUUAAUUGGUGUGCUUGAAAGACUUCUUGUGCAUUGCAAAUUCUUGAAUUGUAAUUAUAGGGUUAACUUGAUCUUUUCUGUACUUUGUUGAUAAAGCAUUCAAGGUUACUACUGUUCUGUUGGCAGCCAGUCGAAUUUUAACAUGUAACAAUCUGAGAACAGAAAAAAAAGGGACACUUUAAAAUUUUAACAGCUGAAGACAAGUUUGUUAUAGAAGGUUUGUAGUAAGUGAGAUGGAGGAAAAGUAUUAAGAAAGCUGUAAGUAGAGGAGAUAUACUUUUGAUAUGAAAGGAUUUUGUAUUUUGUCUUGUUAGAAGGAUAAAGAGAGAUAUACAAGACUAGAAGGCUUAGGUACAUCGAGAAGGUGUGCAGAAUGAUUUAUCAAGGAAAAAAUAAAAAGAUGUGGUGGCCAUCAUCCCAGAAUGUGCCUCCAUGGACCAACAAGACGGAUUCACUGCAAGCAGCACGAUGUGACGCCCCUGCUGAAAGCCAUGCACAGGCUGCAUCUGAGCAACUCCCCCUCACCUGCGACAGCCCUGGGACCUGCAAAGAUCACCAGCCCUGAUGCAGCUACUGUUUCCAAACAGAGAAAGGGGAGAUGCAGAGGACUGUAAUAUUGAUUAUGCCCAAAGCAGGCUGUGAAGAGCUAACCCCACAGCUGGCUUGUUUAUAGAAGUGAGUCUGGCUAAAGCCUAUCUGCCGAGGUCACAGUAACCCAAAUUCCGUUCCCACAACUAAAACCUUCAGACUAGAAGGACAACGUUCUAAUUACAACCAUAUAUUUUGUCUAUUCUGUUCCUAAUUCGAGAAUGCUUUGUCUUGUCCUUUCUGAGCCUUGUUUACAUUAAUUUCCAUAGAAACCACACAUCACCUUUACCCCAUUUGAUUGCCAAUAAAAGUCAGUGCCUGGGACUGUCCAGCCUUUGUCGGUUACACCAGUAUUGGCCGUCUUGGCCCCCACUUUCUCUCCUAGUUCUGUCUCCUAGUAUAUUCUUUUUCACAGGCCUGAGUCACACACUGGGCAAGUGGGUACUGGAACCUGACUACAGGGGUCUCUGCCAAGCAGGGACUGGUGGUAAGACUUCCCUAAAAAUUUUCUUUCUGUGAUCUAAUAAAUACAGCAUUUGCCUUCUAAGCUUCUUGCCUAAGGAGUUUGGAACAGAAUCCCACAUCCCUUCUUAUCUUUGUCUCUCUUUACUACAUGUGUCCACUGUGUUUAUUCCACCUUUUCAUUCCUUAUUUGUCCUCAGCACACUCAAUCUGGUCUCCAGUCCUCCCCUAUUAAAACUGCUCUGUACAAAAUCUCAUGUGGGAUGUCACAAAUCUUUGGCUCCUUGGCUCAUGGCUCCUCCCUCAGCAUGC
This is a long non-coding RNA of Heterocephalus glaber (naked mole-rat), 2604 nucleotides long. The record is from Ensembl. NCBI's taxonomy places the organism in Eukaryota, Metazoa, Chordata, Mammalia, Rodentia, Bathyergidae.